CCUACGGGAGGCAGCAGUAGGGAAUCUUCGACAAUGGGCGAAAGCCUGAUGGAGCCAUGCCGCGUGGGUGAAGAAGGUCCUCGGAUUGUAAAACCCCGUUGUUAGAGAAGAAAGUGCGGGAGAGUAACUGUUCACGUUUCUACGGUAUCUAACCAGAACGGCACGGCUAACUACGUGACCGCAGCCGCGGGAAUACGUUGGUGGCAUGCGUUAUCCGGAUUUAUUGGGCGUAAAGGGAACGCAGGCGGUAUUUUAAGUGAGAGGUGAAAGCCUUGGGCUUAACCGGUGUAGUGCAUUGGAUACUGGCGGACUAGAGUGCAGAAGAGGUAGGCGGAACGCAAGGUGUAGCGGUGAAAUGCGUAGAUAU
RNAcentral lists this ribosomal RNA (367 nucleotides) under uncultured bacterium. RNAcentral describes it as "partial 16S ribosomal RNA". It matches the Rfam family "Bacterial small subunit ribosomal RNA", at positions 338 to 697 of the family's 1533-position model. The record is from RNAcentral.